RNAcentral lists this ribosomal RNA (253 nucleotides) under uncultured bacterium. Its description in RNAcentral is "partial 16S ribosomal RNA". It matches the Rfam family "Bacterial small subunit ribosomal RNA", at positions 524 to 776 of the family's 1533-position model. The record is from RNAcentral.
CACGUAGGGUGCGAGCGUUGUCCGGAAUUAUUGGGCGUAAAGAGCUCGUAGGCGGUGUGUCGCGUCGGCCGUGAAAACCUGCAGCUCAACUGCAGGCUUGCGGUCGAUACGGGCAGGCUGGAGUUCGGUAGGGGAGACUGGAAUUCCUGGUGUAGCGGUGAAAUGCGCAGAUAUCAGGAGGAACACCGGUGGCGAAGGCGGGUCUCUGGGCCGUAACUGACGCUGAGGAGCGAAAGCGUGGGGAGCGAACAGG